Molecule: ribosomal RNA, 301 nt
Filed under: uncultured bacterium
Lineage: Bacteria
Description: partial 16S ribosomal RNA
Rfam family: Bacterial small subunit ribosomal RNA
Source: RNAcentral
CAGUAGCCGCGGUAAUACGGAGGGGGCUGGCGUUGUUCGGAAUCACUGGGCGUAAAGCGCACGUAGGCGGCUUUGCAAGUCAGAGGUGAAAGCCCGGGGCUCAACCCCGGAUGUGCCUUUGAGACUGUGAGGCUUGAACGUCGGAGAGAUGAGUGGAAUUCCGAGUGUAGAGGUGAAAUUCGUAGAUAUUCGGAAGAACACCAGUGGCGAAGGCGGCUCACUGGACGACUGUUGACGCUGAGGUGCGAAAGCGUGGGGAGCAAACAGGAUUAGAUACCCGCGUAGUCCCUGUCUCUUAUAC